RNAcentral lists this transfer RNA (76 nucleotides) under Halanaerobium salsuginis. RNAcentral's name for it is "tRNA_Val_TAC". It matches the Rfam family "tRNA". From Rfam's summary of the family: Transfer RNA (tRNA) molecules are approximately 80 nucleotides in length. Their secondary structure includes four short double-helical elements and three loops (D, anti-codon, and T loops). Further hydrogen bonds mediate the characteristic L-shaped molecular structure. tRNAs have two regions of fundamental functional importance: the anti-codon, which is responsible for specific mRNA codon recognition, and the 3' end, to which the tRNAs corresponding amino acid is attached (by aminoacyl-tRNA synthetases). tRNAs cope with the degeneracy of the genetic code in two manners: having more than one tRNA (with a specific anti-codon) for a particular amino acid; and 'wobble' base-pairing, i.e. permitting non-standard base-pairing at the 3rd anti-codon position. RNAcentral also lists the same sequence under 27 other names. Lineage: Bacteria; Bacillati; Bacillota; Clostridia; Halanaerobiales; Halanaerobiaceae. The record is from RNAcentral.
GGGCGAAUAGCUCAGUUGGGAGAGCACCUGCCUUACAAGCAGGGGGUCACAGGUUCGAGCCCUGUUUCGCCCACCA